UAAUGCUGGCACAAGGCCAAACACGCACACAGACAAAUGCACACAGGCAGACACAUACACCUCACCCAGAGACACACACUCCGAGAUGGACACACACUAACACCCUGGUCAAACUACAUGCACUCAUGUGUCCAGAAAUUGCAAUAUUCGAUAAGGAAAAGGAAAUUAAACGCUUCUGAUUAACCAGAGGAGGCGUGAGGGGGUGGAGGACAUUCGCCCAAAUACGAGACUAAGUGUUAAAUUUGCUCAAGGGAACCUCAGGCCCUGCCAUCAGCAUCACCCAAGUGCCGCCCACACUCCUCCCUCCUUCUCUCCUUAUCUCCCUCACCCAGAAGACACGGAUGUCUUGGCACGCGGUUAUCAGUCUCCUAGGGAAACUGUCUGACUACUUGAGACACAGCUGGCACUUGGGACCCCUGGGCCAUGGAGAAGAGGGUGCGGAGGGGCUGACUCUGGACCCGGGUUGCAGAGGCUGCCCUUGGAGCAGGUGGGGGACCCCUCGCGUCCUGGGCCAAUUUGCGACCAGAAGAAAGGACCUGCAGCAGCUCCUGGCAGAGAAAGCAGCCCUGGUGAGCCUGGGGCGUGAGACAGCCAACACGUCGAGGAGCUUAAGGACCUGGAGGAGCAGCCAGCAGGCGAGGCAGCUCAGUGCACAACGUACCGUGGAUAUACAACAUCCCGUGAACCUACGAUACACGGUCUGCAGGAGCUGAUCAGAAUCCAAACUCCUGGGGCUGGGACCACCCUCUACCCAUGCCUCCAAACAGAGGCCGAGGAUCUGGGCUCUUUGAACAACCAAAGGAAGCAACAUCAGGGGCCAAACCCAUGCUGGUUCUUCUCACCGGCUUCCAGCGGAGGCUGCCCCUCGCUGUUAUUAACUUUCCAAGAAAGCCUCUUCCUUUCUUACAAAGUUCCCCCAGGAGCGGGACUCCUCCUUCUCCUCCCAACCCAGCAAACCUUCUCGUGGCCAAAGCACCCUGACUUGGUGGGAGGGUCCCACGGUGACCACAGGAGAGCAGGUUUCCUGAUUCUGAGGUUUGGAGCACCAAACCUGCCCCAAGCCCGGCUUAAUUGGAAAUGACUGACAGAACAUUCUAGACCCCAAGAGCUCUCAGGACAGCAGUGGAUUCUCAUCAAAGGUCUUGGGUGUUGAGUCCCCCCAUCGUGGCUGAGAUGGGCACAUCAUGUACUAGGUGAAUCCACUUCCCUCAGGGAUGAGAACCCAGGCAGCUGAAGGAAUUUACCACGAUAACUGAGAAACUGGACACACUUGUCACACUCAGAAAUCCCCAGAGACCCGCAUUUGCAGUGACUGUUGGCCAUCUAUAGACAUUGGGGUUGGGAGGCUGUGGGCUGGUUGCAAAUUUAUGGUUACAGAACAAUAAAAUGAGGAGAAACUUCAUCUCUGGAAGAACAUGCAUGGGAAAAAAAUAGGAUGACUUUUUUUGAACUUGGAAACUAUGUCACGUCUCUCUGUGCUCUUUAAACAUUUCACAAUUCAGAGACCGUGAGCAUCAGUCCUUCUAAUAUAGUAUAGCCUCAUUAUUCUGUUUUAUUAAAGAUAAUUUUUGAAACUUCACUCUCUGAGAAGAAAUGGAUGCAUGAGAAAUAUGCAGUCCACAUGGAGAACAAAGAAUCAUUCUUCAAUUUAUAUUUAAAAAUUAAAAGUAGCAAUAAAAUAGAAGGUAUCUUUACCCUCCCCCGACUCAAGAACCAUUCACCUGGACUCUUUGAGGAAACAUUUUAAAAGAUUUGUGGGAGUGGAAGUGUGCUUGCCUGGACUGGAUCUUCACACACUUGAAGGCAGAGCAAAUUGUUACAACCCUUUCCAGAAGCAAUGGAACCAUAUGUAUACCCUCAAAAUGUUUUAAACAUUUGACCCAGAAAUCAAUCUGCUGGGAACCUGCCCUAAGGAAACAAUUCAGAAGAACAAAAAUGCUAUAUGCACAAAUACAUCUCCUCUAGGGGCGCCUGGGUGGCUCAGUUGGUUAAGCAUCUGCCUUUGGCUCAGGGCAUGAUCCCAGGAUCCUGGGAUCAAAUCCCUCAUAGG
Molecule: long non-coding RNA, 2050 nt
Organism: Ailuropoda melanoleuca (giant panda)
Lineage: Eukaryota; Metazoa; Chordata; Mammalia; Carnivora; Ursidae
Exons: 3
Source: RefSeq, a predicted model, not a curated record